UACGCUCAGACUCCGUGCUUGCGAGAGGGGAAGUAUUGCCUCUUAGAGGCGCCCAGGGGGUGGUAUGUAAUUGUCCCAGGUCACUGGGUGGGGGCUCCAGCCGGUUUUGCAUUGCGUUAUUGAAACGGAACCCCUAGAUACAGAACCCGGCCCUUGUUGCUGCCAACUUAGAUGGGCAGAAGGGUUACACAAGGAUGAGGCUGAGAUCAUCCCUGGGAAUGUGGGCACCGGCUCUAUGAACGUCUCUGUCCUCAGCAUUCCCCAGGCCGGUCCCAACAACAUCGGGGAAUUCACCUGUGGGUACGAGGAGAAUGUGAGCGGGAGGUGGAUCCCGUCCCCCAGGAGCUGGGCUGUGAACGUCACUGUGAAUGUCACCAGGACUGCCUCUUACAGUACCCGUGAUAUUCUGCUGACAACAGGUGGCCUCUUGCUUCUGGUUGGAGCCAUUGCUGCUCUCAUCUGUUACUGCAGGAGGAAGAAAAGAGUUCCAAAGCCUCAGAAAAACAUUGAGGGAUCUGAGCCCAGAGGAUGUGCCAGAAACCUGCAUCCUGAUCAUGAUCAUCAGGGAUCUAAAGCCAGGGUUCCUGGUGCAGAGCAGAUGGAACAGGGCUCUGAAGUCACCUACGCGCUCAUGGUAUUCCCGGCCUUGGAGGCCCAGGCAACCCAGUCGAAAAACAAAGCCAAGCCUGCUGAAGAUGAGCAUGUGCUGUAUAGCGAGGUGGUGACAACGUGCACCCGAAAGGCAGCUAAAUAAGGAGGGGAAACCCUCUCUACGUCUCUCUGCAUCUUCUCCUCCUCCAGGCAUCCGUAUCCUUAACCCUUUAUAUCUCAAGAUCCCUUUUAUGCCACUUGGCAAAGCGCACACCCAACACACUUGUCAGACUAUUUAGCCAACCAGCAGCUUGUCGGGUAUCAUAGAAAAACUUGUGACCCACUGCCCGGGAAUAUCACUGUAUGAUGUACGUACGGGUUGUGUAGAAAGAGUUACAUAUGUAUGCUGGAAAUAUGUUGUGGGUGUGGUUGCUAAACAAGCGACAAAGAGUCCUGUGGCACCUUAUAGACUAACAGAUGUAUUGGAGCAUAAGCUACCACUCUGAUACUUGAUAAACAAGGUGGCCGGAGACAAAGGAAUGUGGACUUAUCAGUCUCCAUGCAUCAAGCAAACUGGCAGAUAAGAAAAACAGGAUGGCUUGUGUGAUGCUGGGAAGUCUGAUCUCCGCUCUUGCCAGGCUGCAGGCAUUAGCUAAGAACUGACAACCUCAUAGCUGGAGAUCAGAGCAGGUCACCUGUAUAUUCUUUUUUCUCUAAAUAG
This 1312-nucleotide long non-coding RNA is filed under the name Chrysemys picta bellii (western painted turtle). RNAcentral's name for it is "lncRNA (ENSCPBG00000000356.1)". Lineage: Eukaryota; Metazoa; Chordata; Testudines; Emydidae. The record is from RNAcentral.